GCUCUCACAGCCACCCAUGGGGACAAGGAGCCCUCAGCCCCCAGGGCUGUCCUGCAGGGCCUCCCCUGCACCUCCUCGGAACCGCGGCCUUGCCUGGCACUGCUGUCACCCCCUGGGCCCUGCAGGGCAAAUGUGCCAUUGUCCAGGUCAUCCCUGAUGACUGACGAUUCUGCUUUUUAUAUUUUCAUCUAUUUGUAAUCCUGCAGUUCUUCAGUGUAUGACUCUAAACUCCAUGUGCAGUGUGAUCUGCUGCUUUCCCGUUUUGGGCAGACACAACAAUUCCUCUCCAGGCCUGGCAGUCAAGGACACCUCACUGCCUCAGGCCUGAGAGAUGGAAAAAAAAGUGAAUUGGGGGAAAAAACAUGGGGCCACUUUUUACCUCUGUAAUACUUGAUGUGAAACCACUUGAAGAUAAAUGUGAAACCAACAAAAAUUCAUUUUAUUUGCAAGCGUGAGGCACUCAGAAAUUUGCCUGCUGGGUUUAUCAGAGCAGCUCUCCUGGCCUUGGUGGCACCAGCUGUCCCUGCACACCAGGCUGGCUCUUCACAACUCUCCACAGCUGGGAAAUCUUCCCAAAAUGCUACAAUUCCCCCCCCGAAUUCAGGCUGCUGGAAGUUGAACUAAAUAAAAGAUCAGAUACAUUGUGCUGACCCCACAAUGAGUUGUGUUUUGGUGG
Long non-coding RNA from Passer domesticus (house sparrow), 676 nucleotides. RefSeq lists it as uncharacterized. The record is from RefSeq and is a predicted model, not a curated record. The transcript is spliced from 3 exons. NCBI's taxonomy places the organism in Eukaryota, Metazoa, Chordata, Aves, Passeriformes, Passeridae.